CCUACGGGUGGCUGCAGUGGGGAAUAUUGGACAAUGGGGGGAACCCUGAUCCAGCCAUGCCGCGUGUGUCAAGAAGGCCCUCGGGUUGUAAAGCACUUUCAGUGAGGAAGAACGCCUGGUGGUUAAUACCCAUCAGGAAAGACAUCACUCACAGAAGAAGCACCGGCUAACUCCGUGCCAGCAGCCGCGGUAAUACGGAGGGUGCGAGCGUUAAUCGGAAUUACUGGGCGUAAAGCGCGCGUAGGUGGCUUGAUAAGCCGGUUGUGAAAGCCCCGGGCUCAACCUGGGAACGGCAUCCGGAACUGUCAAGCUAGAGUGCAGGAGAGGAAGGUAGAAUUCCCGGUGUAGCGGUGAAAUGCGUAGAGAUCGGGAGGAAUACCAGUGGCGAAGGCGGCCUUCUGGACUGACACUGACACUGAGGUGCGAAAGCGUGGGUAGCAAACAGGAUUAGAUACCCGAGUAGUC
This 465-nucleotide ribosomal RNA is filed under the name Vreelandella stevensii. RNAcentral's name for it is "partial 16S ribosomal RNA". It matches the Rfam family "Bacterial small subunit ribosomal RNA", at positions 338 to 795 of the family's 1533-position model. Lineage: Bacteria; Pseudomonadati; Pseudomonadota; Gammaproteobacteria; Oceanospirillales; Halomonadaceae. The record is from RNAcentral.